RNAcentral lists this ribosomal RNA (468 nucleotides) under uncultured bacterium. Its description in RNAcentral is "partial 16S ribosomal RNA". It matches the Rfam family "Bacterial small subunit ribosomal RNA", at positions 28 to 507 of the family's 1533-position model. The record is from RNAcentral.
GACGAACGCUGGCGGCGUGCUUAACACAUGCAAGUCGAACGGAAAGGCCCUGCCUUGGUUUGGUGCUCGAGUGGCGAACGGGUGGGUAACACGUGAGUAACCUGCCCUUGACAUUGGGAUAACUUUAGGAAACGAGGGCUAAUACCGCAUAGGAGCUCCUGCUGCAUGGUGGGGGUGGGAAAGUUUGGGCGGUGGGGGAUGGACUCGCGGCUUCUCAGCUUCUUGGUGGGGUAGUGGCUUACCAAGACUUUGACGGGUGGCCGGCCUGGGAGGGUGACCGGCCACAUUGGGACUGGGCUGAGGCACAGACUCGUACGGGAGGCAACGGUGCGGUAGAUAGCACUACGGGCUGAAGCAUGACGUGACGAAGCGGCGUGGGGGAUGACGAGAAGCGGGUUGUAAAGCGCUUUCCCCUGUGACGAAGAGUGAGUGACGGUAAUGGGUAAAGAAGCAACGGCUAACUACGUG